RNAcentral lists this ribosomal RNA (407 nucleotides) under Nematoda environmental sample. Its description in RNAcentral is "SSU rRNA". It matches the Rfam family "Eukaryotic small subunit ribosomal RNA", at positions 29 to 436 of the family's 1831-position model. Lineage: Eukaryota; Metazoa; Nematoda. The record is from RNAcentral.
UGCUUGUCUCAAAGAUUAAGCCAUGCAUGUCUAUGCACAAGCCGAAUACGGUGAAGCCGCGAAUGGCUCAUUACAACAGCCACCGUUUACUUGAUUCUGAUUAUCCUACUUGGAUAACUGUGGUAAUUCUAGAGCUAAUACAUGCAACCAAGCUCCGACCGUAAGGGACGAGCGCAUUUAUUAGAACAAAACCAAUCGGGCUUCGGCCUGAGGUUUGGUGAAUCUGAAUAACUGAGCUGAUCGCAUGGUCUUUGUACCGGCGACGCAUCUUUCAAGUGUCUGCCUUAUCAACUUUCGAUGGUAGUUUAUGUGCCUACCAUGGUUGUAACGGGUAACGGAGAAUAAGGGUUCGACUCCGGAGAGGGAGCCUGAGAAACGGCUACCACAUCCRAGGAAGGCAGCAGGCA